This 462-nucleotide ribosomal RNA is filed under the name uncultured bacterium. RNAcentral's name for it is "partial 16S ribosomal RNA". It matches the Rfam family "Bacterial small subunit ribosomal RNA", at positions 28 to 507 of the family's 1533-position model. The record is from RNAcentral.
GACGAACGCUGGCGGCGUGCUUAACACAUGCAAGUCGAGCGGUAAGGCCUUUCGGGGUACACGAGCGGCGAACGGGUGAGUAACACGUGGGUGAUCUGCCCUGCACUUCGGGAUAAGCCUGUGAAACUGGGUCUAAUACCGGAUAUGACCUCCUAUCGCAUGGUGGGUGGUGGAAAGAUUUAUCGGUGCAGGAUGGGCCCGCGGCCUAUCAGCUUGUUGGUGGGGUAAUGGCCUACCAAGGCGACGACGGGUAGCCGACCUGAGAGGGUGACCGGCCACACUGGGACUGAGACACGGACCAGACUCAUACGGGAGGCAGCAGUGGGGAAUAUUGAACAAUGGGAGAAAGCCUGAUGCAGAGACGCAGCGUGAGGGAUGACGGCCUUCGGGUUGUAAACCUCUUUCAGAAGGGACGAAGCGCAAGUGACGGUAACUGCAGAAGAAGCACCGGCUAACUACGUG